Molecule: long non-coding RNA, 576 nt
Filed under: Sorghum bicolor (sorghum)
Lineage: Eukaryota; Viridiplantae; Streptophyta; Magnoliopsida; Poales; Poaceae
Description: long non-coding RNA (SBIC_LNC009885)
Source: RNAcentral
UGGGGACUAAACAAGGCCUAUACAAACUUUACUACCACAACAACAGGUUUUGCAGUUUGAUCCUCGUCUUUGGUAUAGUUCGUUCUUUCUUUUUUUUUUCUCUUUAUUUCCCUCGGGAUGGAAUCAUAUUUUCGUUGGCGAAGUUGAUAAAAUUUUUAAAAUGUCUACUUUAUACCGUCUUUUCCUUUCUUUUUGUUCACUCAUUUGACAAAUAGUUGACACUUCCGUUAUCUAAACUUUGAAGCGAACUAUUCAAAAACUAAAGAAAACAACCUAUGCACCUAGGUAGAGAAUGAGACAAAGUAAGCGUGUGGAAACAACAUUGAUCCCCACGGAAAAGUUGCUCCUACAAAUGAUUAUGCGAAUGACACGCUAACAAUGAUCCCCAAUGGAUCACUCCAGCAUGCAAGUGAAAACGCUAUGGCUACACCAUAUUUCUAUCUUGAUCUCCUGUGUGGAACAAAGGAAUAGAAAACGCAAGAAUAGGAGAAAAUGAAGGAAUGGGAAAAGAAUUCAGAUGCAAAAGAGGAUAGGAAAAAAAUUUCAAGAAAAAUGUUUGGAAUCUAGGAAUAUAAC